RNAcentral lists this ribosomal RNA (485 nucleotides) under Ligilactobacillus acidipiscis. RNAcentral's name for it is "bacterial SSU rRNA". It matches the Rfam family "Bacterial small subunit ribosomal RNA", at positions 66 to 540 of the family's 1533-position model. Lineage: Bacteria; Bacillati; Bacillota; Bacilli; Lactobacillales; Lactobacillaceae. The record is from RNAcentral.
GCUUGCACUCAGCGUUUUAAGUGCGAGUGGCGAACGGGUGAGUAACACGUGGGCAAUCUGCCCAAAAGUGGGGGAUAACACUUGGAAACAGGUGCUAAUACCGCAUCAACCGGCUGACCGCAUGGUCGGCCGGGCAAAGACGGCGUCAGCUGUCGCUUUUGGAUGAGCCCGCGGCGUAUUAACUAGUUGGUAAGGUAACGGCUUACCAAGGUGAUGAUACGUAGCCGAACUGAGAGGUUGAUCGGCCACAUUGGGACUGAGACACGGCCCAAACUCCUACGGGAGGCAGCAGUAGGGAAUCUUCCACAAUGGACGCAAGUCUGAUGGAGCAACGCCGCGUGUAUGAAGAAGGUCUUCGGAUCGUAAAAUACUGUUGUCAGAGAAGAACACGUGAUAGAGUAACUGCUAUGACGCUGACGGUAUCUGACCAGCAAGUCACGGCUAACUACGUGCCAGCAGCCGCGGUAAUACGUAGGUGGCAAGCG